RNAcentral lists this ribosomal RNA (253 nucleotides) under uncultured bacterium. RNAcentral's name for it is "partial 16S ribosomal RNA". It matches the Rfam family "Bacterial small subunit ribosomal RNA", at positions 524 to 776 of the family's 1533-position model. The record is from RNAcentral.
UACGUAGGUGGCAAGCGUUGUCCGGAUUUAUUGGGUUUAAAGGGUGCGUAGGCGGCUGGUUAAGUCAGUGGUGAAAGACGACAGCUCAACUGUUGAGGUGCCAUUGAUACUGACCAGCUAGAGUACUGAUGAGGUAGGCGGAAUGGACGGUGUAGCGGUGAAAUGCAUAGAUAUCGUCCAGAACACCGAUAGCGAAGGCAGCUUACUAAGGAGUAACUGACGCUGAGGCACGAAAGUGUGGGGAUCAAACAGG